RNAcentral lists this unclassified non-coding RNA (211 nucleotides) under Hevea brasiliensis (rubber tree). The record is from RNAcentral. Lineage: Eukaryota; Viridiplantae; Streptophyta; Magnoliopsida; Malpighiales; Euphorbiaceae.
AGAGGUGAUCAGGAUCGAGCGUGAUGCUGAUGCUGUCGUUGAUAGGGAGGAUUAGGGUUUCGUCACGCUUGCCCCAGUAUUUGAUGACGGCGAUGUUGGUGGGGGAUCUGGCCGUGGCCAUCAGGAUCCACUUCUCCGGCUCUGUCGACAUUGGCGAGGAGAGUGGUUUUCCGGUGAGCGGGAGUUGCGGAAGACCGGCGGCAGGUUUGAG